GUUUUUAUAAUUUAAUUUAAAAUUUUAGUCUUGUAAACUAAAUAUAGGUAACCCUUAAAAACA
This 63-nucleotide transfer RNA is filed under the name Platydema sp. PLA01. RNAcentral's name for it is "tRNA-Thr". The record is from RNAcentral. Lineage: Eukaryota; Metazoa; Arthropoda; Insecta; Coleoptera; Tenebrionidae.